RNAcentral lists this ribosomal RNA (453 nucleotides) under uncultured bacterium. Its description in RNAcentral is "bacterial SSU rRNA". It matches the Rfam family "Bacterial small subunit ribosomal RNA", at positions 340 to 786 of the family's 1533-position model. The record is from RNAcentral.
UACGGGAGGAGCAGUGGGGAAUAUUGCACAAUGGGCGCAAGCCUGAUGCAGCCAUGCCGCGUGUAUGAAGAAGGCCUUCGGGUUGUAAAGUACUUUCAGUCGUGAGGAAGGUGUUAAGGUUAAUAACCUUAGCAAUUGACGUUAGCGACAGAAGAAGCACCGGCUAACUCCGUGCCAGCAGCCGCGGUAAUACGGAGGGUGCGAGCGUUAAUCGGAAUUACUGGGCGUAAAGGGCACGCAGGCGGUUAAUUAAGUUGGAUGUGAAAUCCCCGGGCUUAACCUGGGAAUGGCAUUCAAGACUGGUUAGCUAGAGUCUUGUAGAGGGGGUAGAAUUCCAUGUGUAGCGGUGAAAUGCGUAGAGAUGUGGAGGAAUACCGGUGGCGAAGGCGGCCCCUGGGACAAAGACUGACGCUCAUGUGCGAAAGCGUGGGGAGCAAACAGGGAUUAGAUACC